ACAUGAAUUACAAGAUGGCAGGCCUGUGCCCCUGGGACUGUCGUAGUGUCCCAUGUCAGAGAAAACUGUGGCUCCAAACCAUUGCCUGGCCUCUGCCUGUAGGCUCCUGGCACUGUGCACAGAGGAAAGAAAG
Molecule: small nucleolar RNA, 133 nt
Filed under: Castor canadensis (American beaver)
Lineage: Eukaryota; Metazoa; Chordata; Mammalia; Rodentia; Castoridae
Description: Small nucleolar RNA SNORA42/SNORA80 family (ENSCCNG00000011306.1)
Rfam family: Small nucleolar RNA SNORA42/SNORA80 family
About the family: The members of this family belong to the H/ACA class of snoRNAs that guide the sites of modification of uridines to pseudouridines.
Source: RNAcentral